GACGUAGGGACCGAGCGUUGUCCGGAAUCAUUGGGCGUAAAGAGCGUGUAGGCGGCCAUUUAAGUCCUGCGUGAAAUCCUGCGGCUCAACCGCAGACGGUCGUGGGAAACUGGAUGGCUAGAGUGCGGGAGAGGAGAGUGGAAUUCCCGGUGUAGCGGUGAAAUGCGUAGAUAUCGUAAGGAAGACCAGUGGCGAAGGCGGGUCUCUGGACAGUUCCUGACGCUGAGGCACGAAGGUCAGGGGAGCAAACGGG
This 253-nucleotide ribosomal RNA is filed under the name uncultured bacterium. Its description in RNAcentral is "partial 16S ribosomal RNA". It matches the Rfam family "Bacterial small subunit ribosomal RNA", at positions 524 to 776 of the family's 1533-position model. The record is from RNAcentral.